GGCCGGCGGGCCGCGCAGGGCGGCGCGGGCUGGGGGACGCGGCGGGCGGCUCCGGGAGGCGACGGGACCCCCAGGCCGGCAGCCGAGUGAAGAGGCAGGAACUGUCUACAAAUGCUCCGGCUCCGAAGCCCCGAGGGAAAGAGCAUCUUUCACGGAGCACCAGGAAUUGACGACGGUGGAAUUUGCUCAGAUCCCCUGAGGCCGGUUCUUUGAGUUUCUGUCUGGCCCUCCGGGAGAACCGUCCCAAAGUUAACUUUGAAAACACUCACAGGAGAGGGAAGGCUGUGGGGUCCUUCGCUUCUCAAACCCCAGAUGCCCCCGGAAAGAACACCGCCCCCGACCACCACCACAACCAGAUGUUUUUAAAAAGAGAUGCUAAGCAAAAGGCCUGAUUAUGAGGAAUGAGCCAAAGUCAUGCAAGGCGUGGGGCGCUAUGGGACUGCGCAGUGACGACCCAGUGAAGUAGAUGCCUUGACGAUUCCCAUUUCACGGAUGAGACGACUCCGGCACAGAGAAGUCAGAGGGCCUGUCCUGGGUCACACAGCCACAGGCGGCCCCCAGAACGGGACUUCAGGGUGCACCACUGCACCCCAGCAGAGACCUCCGCCUGGCACACAGGGAAUGCUGGAGCAAUACUUAAAUAGGAGCACACAGCACGCUGCACUGUGGGGACCGCUGUCCUUUGGUCUGCAUGCUGCUCAUCGCAUCUGGGGGAGAGGACCCGAUAUCGUUUGUUUUUACGUCCGCGAACUUCACAUGGUGUUACCAUAGUUCUACAGGACAAGCCAUCAUUUCACAGUUUUCAUGCCUGACCUGCCUCCAGAGCUCUUGAAAACUUUGGAACCAAGAAUAUUUUUAUCAGCCAUCCUCCAGACUCACUCACGGGUUACCUGACCGCACUAAAUCCAAAAUGAGGGUAAAAAUCCCUGCUGCAAAUUCCUCCUGGCUUUGCCAUCUUGGCCAGUCAUUCCACCAAACCGAUUGUGCCUUGCAGAUAAAAGUCGUAAAACUGAAAGGCAAGUGGCAGAUGCAAACUGAUUUCCUAAUUGAUCCCUUGGUUCAACCUGCAUCUACAGGGAAGUUACUGUGUCUGGCACAGUGCUGGACACUGGGAUACAAACAAAGGGUGCAUCCAGGAGGUCCUUAAGAAGAAGCAGUCCCAGACUGUAGAAGCCUCCCAGAAGAAGAAGGGGGAGAAGUGUGUGAAUCAUGACUCUGAAGAGCAUGAAGAAAGAUGUCACCGCAGCUGGGGGAGUCUCCUCCCAGGUUUCCCAGCCCAGCUGCCUCACCUCUGGCCAGCAAGGUCCACUGCACACAGAGGUAACCACUGGAACAAGCAGCUGGAAACCUCAGCUUCUUUCCCUGUAGGCUCCAGGAGCUUCUAAUUCAUGUCUGUUGUCCACAUGCUGAGGCUUCUAUCCAUCCCUCAACCCCUGCUGCACAGGAAACCCUUCCUGCCUCUUCUCUGGCGUUGAGCCCCUGACUCUCCCAUCCAGCUUCCAGCUCAGCCCCACAUAUGUCUCUCUGUGUCUGUGUUUAUCACUGGUGAAUCUUCAGCAUUGGGGCUACCCUAUGCCAGCUCAAGGCCCAGCUGAGCCCGCCUGGCCCCCAACUUGCACCGUGGAGAUGGGGACUUGGUCACAGAGAUUAAAGUAGACACUGGGGGCAGAGAGGCCAGGGAUGGAAGGGAACUUAAAUAAGGCCACAGGUAAGUGGAUUCAUUUGCUUGGGCUGCUAUAAGACCCACAGACUGGGCAGCUUCACUAACAGGCAUUUAUCUGCCCACAGUUCUGGAGGCUAGAAGUCUGCAAUCGAGGGGUCAGCAGGGUGGAUUUCUUCUGAGGCCUCUGUUAAAUGGUAAACUGAGGCACCAUAAAAGUUGAGAUUUUAUUUGUUAAAACCCCAGUCCAAACAGCUUCAAGCCAGAAGUGGUUGGGUACACUACUGAGCAAACACAGACAAAGCCAGUUAGGCCUCAUAAGAGAUGUAGAUCUUGCUUGAUUUCCAAACAUAAGCAAAACUUAGCUUCAGCUGUUUCUUGUAAAUGGCUACAUUGAAGAACAAGGCCAGCCCAUUAGCCCUGAAACUAGGGACUUUUCAGCAGGAAAGACUAAAUAAAACAGCUAUACAAUUGUAAUCAAUCGCAUGUUUUCUUCGCUUUACUUGCGUGUGCACCCUAGGUUUAUCAUAAGGUUAAAUGUCAUGGCGAAUGUGAAAAAAGCCUUUUGGAAACGAUGUGUGUAAAUAUCAUUGCAGUCACCUUAUAAAAAGGAAGUUUGAGGAGAAAAGGGAAAGCAGCACUCUCUUACGCCCCAGGCAAAUCGUGGCUGAACCAAAUACAACCCUGCGAUGAGCAUUCCUGGUGCCCCACAGCUUCCCGCAGAUGGCAGAUGGUCCAUGCUGUGGGAGGAAGACUCGUGUGUGCAUAUAUAUGAGGCUGCCCUGACAGACCAGGCCAAUCCUGCUUCCCGGUGACUGUGGCUUCCUUGUCUCUAGGAGGCCUCGGUUCAAUUAACUUAGCAGAUGUUUAUGAGGCACUGAAUAUGUGUAGCCUAGAAGGUCCAUGAGAGAAUGAAGGGCCCUGGGUCUGAUUUAGGCAACCCCGUAUACCUAGCCCCUACGACACAUCUGUGUGGCACCAACAUAGCCUCCCAAUAAAUAUCUGAUUGACAGCAGACUAUCAGGCACUGGGCUAGGGACAAGGGUCAGAGUGCAGCAAAAGGCGACCAUCGCGUAGAUGCUAACCACUCACCGCAUGCACUUUGUUGAGAUAGAAGCAAAAUUCUCUAAGCACAGAGAAGAAUGUGAUUCAUUCUGCUCUGUCAUUAAGGGCAGGGAAGUGCUGCUCAGGGAUGGCCGUGGAAGCUGGGCCUUCCAGGACAGGUGAGAUUUUAACGUAAUGGCGAGCUAAAGAACAGGUGUUCCCAGCAGCAGCAGCAGCACACAAGAAAGCAUGCAAAUGAGGACAUGUGCGGGGGCAAUGUUUCCUGUGGCUGCUGGAAUAAACUGCGACUAACAUAGUUUAAAACAAUACAAGCGUAUUAUCUUACACUUCCUAGGGGAGGUCAGAAAUCUCACGGGCUCUGCUGGCUUCUGUGCUUCGUCUCUCAAGGCCAAAAUCAAGAUGUCAUCAGUGCUGAGCUCUGGUGCAGGAUCCACGUCCAGGCUCACUGGGGCUGCUGGCAGAAUUCAGCUGUGUGGGGUUGUAGGAAUGAAGUCCUUGUUUCCUUGCUGGCUGUUGGCCAGGGGCUGCCCUCAGCUUCUGGAGGCCGCCUGCCCUCCCUGGUUCAUGGCCCAUCUCAUCCUGACAGCCAGCACCCGCGGGAAGUCCCUCUUGCACUGUGACUCUCUCCCGCCUCUUCCAUUCUCUAUGGCUUGUCUGCCUCCCUCUUUCAUCUUUAAGAGUGCAUGUGAGUAUAUUGGACCUACCUGAAUCAGCCAGGCUAACCUCCCCAUUUUAAGGUCUGCAGCCUUAAUUCUACCUGCAAAGUCCCUUUUGCCAUGUAAUGUGCCAUAUUCACAGGUGUCAGGAAUCAGAGGGCAGGUAUAUUGGGGGACCAUUAUUCUGCCAACUACACAGGGCCUUAUAUGGUCUGGCUCUGUGUCCCCAUUCAAAUCUCAUCUUGAAUUGUAAUCCGAAUUGUAACCCCCACGUGUUGGGGGGAGGGACCUUGUGGGAGGUAAUUAAAUCAUGGGGGCGGUUACCCUCAUGCUGUUCUUGUGAUAGUGAGUGAGUUCUCACGAGAUCUGAAGGUUUUGCAAGGAGCUUUUCCCCCUUUUGCUCAGGACUCUCCUUCCUGCAGCCAAGUGAAGGACAAGUUUGCUUCCCCUUCCACAAUGAUUGUA
Long non-coding RNA from Homo sapiens (human), 3846 nucleotides. Ensembl annotates it as B3GALT5 antisense RNA 1. Its record names the gene B3GALT5-AS1. Lineage: Eukaryota; Metazoa; Chordata; Mammalia; Primates; Hominidae. The record is from Ensembl.